Non-coding RNA from Mycena latifolia, 92 nucleotides. The record is from the annotation of a GenBank genome assembly. NCBI's taxonomy places the organism in Eukaryota, Fungi, Basidiomycota, Agaricomycetes, Agaricales, Mycenaceae.
GGUCUGGUGGUGUAACGGCAACACACCUGCUUUACAUAUGUUGAUCGGAAGAAGGUUGGCAGGGGUUCCUUGUUCGACUUGAGGUCAGGCCA